Molecule: long non-coding RNA, 460 nt
Filed under: Dromaius novaehollandiae (emu)
Lineage: Eukaryota; Metazoa; Chordata; Aves; Casuariiformes; Dromaiidae
Description: lncRNA (ENSDNVG00000014137.1)
Source: RNAcentral
CGGGGGGCGGGCGCGCCCGCCCGCCCCGCCCCCCGCCCCGCCAGGCCGGGCCUGCUGUGUCGCUCGCUUUCUCUCCCCGAGCAAGUGUCGGACACAGGCCCGCAUAAGCAUGUGACUGUAAGAGAAAAUAAGAGAGUAGUCAUGGGGACUGUUCCACUUGCAGCAAUGUUGGGAUCAAUCAUCUGAGAAAAGAUCCUGGAGAGACGAGGCAACGUAUUUUCCAUUUCUGAUGUCAGGAUUUGUUCUGUGAAACUGACCUUUAAAGCAGCCUGAAAAUGAGGAACGUGGCACCAGAGAGCAGAUCAGGAAGCAUGAAAUGAUACGUGAACUUAGCACUAGAAUCUGGAAGAGUUCUCAGACAGUAACACAACUGGCCAGUGCAGAGCGUGAACAGAUGUUAAACCCUCCCUCAGCGCAGAUGAAAGGAACAGGGGAAUGGAGUUGUUUGCAGAUUGCUUGA